This is a small nuclear RNA of Homo sapiens (human), 103 nucleotides long. Lineage: Eukaryota; Metazoa; Chordata; Mammalia; Primates; Hominidae. The record is from Ensembl.
GUGCUCACUUUAACAGCACCUGUACUAAAAUUGGAAUGAUACAGAGAUUAGCGUGGUCCCUACACAAGGAUGAUAUGCAAUGUGUGGAGUGUUCCAUAUUUUU